CUGAGAUCAUCUAUCUCAUUCCCCAAGAAAGUUGGCAGAUGAGAAGGCUGAGGCCUAGGAAGAUAAAUAUUGCAAACUUUGAGUGUUCAUUAGGGAUAGCAUCAAAAUCAAUUGUGGUCCUCUGGUAAGAAACAUGGGCCACCUUCUCCACACACUUCCCACUGCCCCACCCAUCCUGCAUGUAUCAUUUCAGAAGGCUACCAAGUAAUAACUCUUCUAACUGGUAAAAUAUAUAAUUUGGAGAGGAGGAGGAGCUUUGUUGGGAAAAAAGCGGAGAACGAGUUUCUAAUCCCAAAAGUUGGGAUCAAACUCUUUCUAAGAUAGCCUUGAAUUGAAUCAAUGUAGCAGUGGUUAAUUCGUAGGUUAAUUACAGCUUGAUGGAAACAAUAACAUCGUCAUGCUUGGGUUGCACAUUUUAAACCCGUAAAAUGAUAGCCAACUCGAAUGCCAAUCAUGAGCUUCCCAAACAGCAGCUGUCACUGUGUGGUGGACUUGGCUCUGAGUGUCUCAGGUCACCCUGAUGUGUUCCAGUGUUUGCUGUUUCAGUGUCAGUGAGUACACCGUGGCCACUGCAGAUCACACAGAGUCAUGGCAGAGACUGUCUAACCCUCGUAAUCAGGAGAGUUGGAGCUUAAGAAUCAACACACGGCCUUACUUACACUUUUCAUUUAAACUAUGCUUGAAGCUUUAAAUGUUUCCAGCUGCGCAUGUAUUAGAAGGGAUAAAAGAAUAAGGGAAGAGCUUCAGAAAACAGUGUUGUUCCAAAGGAGGGCUUGGUAAUUCUAAAUGGCCAGUAGGGCAGGCCAGAGGCCACUGAGGAUUCACAUCACAGGAGAGAAAGUAUUUACCAGUAGGGUUGCUUUGAUUGAUGGGUCCUGGGAAUUUCUGCAACAUGCCCUGCAGCACCUAACAGUAGGACAGAUGUUUCCAUAGCUGAAUCUUUCUGCCCUGCUGCUCCUGGGAAAAAUAAUUUCCACUCCCACUGCAGCUCUACCCUAGCCAAUUAAUGAAGUUCUUUCAGUGAUUUUUCAUUUGUGAGUAUGAUAUGCUCAGCUCUUGGCCUAAUUAGACAAGAGGGGGCCGCUGAUUUCUCAGUCUCCAGACUUCUUGCUUGGGACAUGCAUUCUCAGUUUCUUUAGACCAGUAGUUGUAUUAAUAAAAGAAAGAGGAGGGGGCCAGGUGCGGUGGCUCACACCUGUAAUCCCAAAGUGCAGGGAUUAUAGGCAUGAACCACGGCACCCGGCCACCUUACUUGUUUUUACUUAUCUUAGGGAUUGUUCCGGGUUAGCACAUGUAGACCUCCCAUAUUUGCUUUUUAAUAACUACAGGAAUGUUUUUUAAACAUUGUUUAGAUGGUCCAUCAUUUACUAGCCUUUUAUUGCUGGGCAUUUUGGUUGUACAAUCUUCUGCUGUCCCAACAAAUUAAAUGUUACCCUUGAACAUAAAUAUUUUGGCGCAUAUGCUAGUUAAUCUAUAUUAUCAGUUUGCAGAAAUAGAACCACUAGGCCAAAUGGCAUAUACCUUUAAAUAUUUAAAAUAUUUAAAUAUAGAGAUAAUCAUAUUGCUCUCCUGUAGAGGAUUUCUUCAUUGACUUCUUCCUGGCAGUGCAUAAGAAUGCAUCCUCCAACCCGUUUCCCUUCUCCCCAUCUCCACCUUGGCCAUAUCAGAGUCUGUCUUUUGCAGGAGAAAAAGUUUUGGUCUGGGAUGAGCAUGAAUAUUUUUAAAACUCACCGCAUGGGUGUCAGCAGUGUUUCAGUUGCAAGUCACAGAAAAUCUGCCUCAAACCGACUUAAAUCAAAAUUAAAAAAAAAAAAAAAGAUGGAGAAGUUGAUGGGCACAGAUAACAAAAGUCCAGAGAGAAAAUGUGCUUCAGGUGUAGCUGGAUCUAGGGAGGGCUGGCAUGUCAUGGCACAGCUUCAGGGGCACAGUCACAUUGCAUUAGCAAACAGUGUGAAGGCUGCCCCCUGGAGUUAGUGGCCAUACAUUCAGGGACACAACUAAGCUUACAGGGACCUGGUCUCUCUCCAUUUCCCAGCCCUGUUUCCUUGGGGUUUGCCUUGUUCACAGGCAGGCUUUCUCCACGUGGCAGCUCUAGGUUUACGUUCUAUGAACUUUAUAACCUCAAUCUAAGAGCCUCCCCUUCUCUGUAGAUACAGCCAAAGUCAUGCAAUUGUUCUUCGUUGAUCUGACUUUGGUCAGAUACUCAUCCCAAGUAAUUGAUCACUUCUGGGAAGGUCUUUUGGUUUGCUUGCCUGUCAUCCAUUCCCUGUUCUUCUGAUAGUAGCGCCUUGAUUUUCUUCCUCAAUCUAAGUCCCCAUGGUUCUAGGGACCUUCCUUCAUCCAGGGCUGAGCAUGCGACCCUAGGCAUGGCCAGUCAGCACCCAUCCUACCAACGGCCAAAGUGAUUCUGAUUCUUGGACACUACCUCCUUGACCACUAACCCAUCUGUAGGCUAGAUGAGUUUGUCUGAGACCAGGAAAGUUACAGCUGAAGAAGAUGGGAGAUGGAAGUGCAUACAAAUCACCUGGCAAUCUUGUAGUAAAGCAGAUUCUAAUUUAUUAGGUCUGAGAUGGGG
This 2575-nucleotide long non-coding RNA is filed under the name Homo sapiens (human). Its description in RNAcentral is "LNC_000952". Lineage: Eukaryota; Metazoa; Chordata; Mammalia; Primates; Hominidae. The record is from RNAcentral.